RNAcentral lists this ribosomal RNA (332 nucleotides) under uncultured bacterium. RNAcentral's name for it is "partial 16S ribosomal RNA". It matches the Rfam family "Bacterial small subunit ribosomal RNA", at positions 1029 to 1362 of the family's 1533-position model. The record is from RNAcentral.
GUCGACGGGGUGCUGCAUGGCUGUCGUCAGCUCGUGUCGUGAGAUGUUGGGUUAAGUCCCGCAACGAGCGCAACCCUUGUCUUUUUUUUCCCACAUUAAGUUGGGCACUCUAGAGGGACUGCCGGGGAUAACCUGGAGAAGGGGGGGGAUGACAUCAAAUCUUCUUGCCCCUUAUGCUUAGGGGUACACACGUGUUACAAUGGGGGGUACAAAGGGCAGCCAAGACCCGAGGGGGAGCUAAUCCCUUAAAACCCUUCCCUCUUCAGAUAGUAGACUGAAACUCUCCACUCUGAAAAUGGAGAAUCUAUAAAUCGCGCAUAUCAAUGCUGCGG